CAACAGGGAUUGCUCUAGUAACGGCGAGUGAAGCAGCAAUAGCUCAAAUUUGAAAUCUGGCGUCUUCGACGUCCGAGUUGUAAUUUGUAGAGGAUGCUUCUGAGUGGCCACCGACCUAAGUUCCUUGGAACAGGACGUCAUAGAGGGUGAGAAUCCCGUAUGCGGUCGGAAAGGCGCUCUAUACGUAGCUCCUUCGACGAGUCGAGUUGUUUGGGAAUGCAGCUCUAAAUGGGAGGUAAAUUUCUUCUAAAGCUAAAUAUUGGCCAGAGACCGAUAGCGCACAAGUAGAGUGAUCGAAAGAUGAAAAGCACUUUGGAAAGAGAGUUAAAAAGCACGUGAAAUUGUUAAAAGGGAAGGGAUUGCAACCAGACUUGCUCGCGGUGUUCCGCCGGUCUUCUGACCGGUCUACUCGCCGCGUUGCAGGCCAGCAUCGUCUGGUGCCGCUGGAUAAGACUUGAGGAAUGUAGCUCCCUCGGGAGUGUUAUAGCCUCUUGUGAUGCAGCGAGCGCCGGGCGAGGUCCGCGCUUCGGCUAGGAUGCUGGCGUAAUGGUCGUAAUCCGCCCGUCUUGAAACACGGACCAAGGAGUCUAACAUCUAUGCGAGUGUUCGGGUGUCAAACCCCUACGCGUAAUGAAAGUGAACGGAGGUGAGAACCGCAAGGUGCAUCAUCGACCGAUCCUGAUGUCUUCGGAUGGAUUUGAGUAAGAGCAUAGCUGUUGGGACCCGAAAGAUGGUGAACUAUGCCUGAAUAGGGUGAAGCCAGAGGAAACUCUGGUGGAGGCUCGCAGCGGUUCUGACGUGCAAAUCGAUCGUCAAAUUUGGGUAUAGGGGCGAAAGACUAAUCGAACCAUCUAGUAGCUGGUCC
RNAcentral lists this ribosomal RNA (865 nucleotides) under Cladosporium sp. Its description in RNAcentral is "partial large subunit ribosomal RNA". It matches the Rfam family "Eukaryotic large subunit ribosomal RNA", at positions 66 to 957 of the family's 3401-position model. Lineage: Eukaryota; Fungi; Ascomycota; Dothideomycetes; Cladosporiales; Cladosporiaceae. The record is from RNAcentral.